Helianthus annuus (common sunflower) is the source of this 1876-nucleotide long non-coding RNA. RefSeq lists it as uncharacterized. The record is from RefSeq and is a predicted model, not a curated record. Lineage: Eukaryota; Viridiplantae; Streptophyta; Magnoliopsida; Asterales; Asteraceae. The transcript has 2 exons.
UCAAAACCUAAAACCCUACAAAGAUGUGCAGCCACUCAACACCGAAAACCCCUCUAUCUCCUCUCCCGAGUCCGGCGAUCGGAGCCGUAUUCCGGCGAGGUUCCUCCGACCGGACACACAUCCAUUCAUCCACCCACCUUUUAUACCGCAAGCCACGUAGCCUCCUUCUGGUUGUUUCUCCGUCAAGCAAGAACAGAGGCAGCACCGCCGCAGGCGGCGACGACGAUUACUUUCUGGCGACACAUUUCUCCGGUGGUCGCUCGGAUUAGCUUUAUUCCCGGUCGGUGAUGAUUGGUGACGAAGGGGAUGGUACUGGAAGUAAUGGCAGCCGCAGCGGAGGUAGUGGCCGUCGGAGACGUCGACCGACGACAACGAAACUGGGCUCGGACUCACGACAGUGGGCUUCGAGUGCAGAUUCAAGGGCCCGUGUUCGCGACAGGAGGAGGAGAUUUGGUGCCAGCCGCCUCGGGAUUCAGUUCAGGUCUCGUCGGGUUCAGUCUCGGGUCGCACACAACAUGUUCUUAACCCUCCGGGUAUGGUUGACCAACGUAACACAAGUAAAUUAACUACCGAGCAAAGCAAAGGUGAGUUCACUACUUUUUACUUAAAGCAUGCAUUCCCGGUGGUUGGGAAACGGAACGAAACAACUCUUCCUGGUUUGGAAUUGCUUACUAUCUCCUUAUGAGGGAUGCGGUAUUUCUAUCUCCUUGUGUGGGAUACGGGUAACAACAUUAUCCCCGGUGAGGGAUACAAACUUACUUUUCUUCCCUUGUUAUUGGGAGCUUUUAGUUAAUUACUGUUUAUACGGAAAUGCAACGAGCAACACUAAACGAAACUCUAUCACUCAAGUCCCUACUAUACAUAAUACCGAUUAGUCGCCGGGGCCAGGCGAACGGGUUAUUAGUUGAUAGCGCUAUUUAGGUCUUACCAACCUCACACCGUGCCAUGGUAUGGGAUCGGUCGUGAACUAAUGUACUCAGGCAUCCGUCAAUGAUGAUAGAACAUUGACAUCGGGGCAUCCUGCGGAAACGCAACGGUUACCUAGUGUUCGGUAUUGGAAAAUCAGUUUAGUCGCUUACUUAUGGGGUAGCUCCCCAUGGCAUGUAUAAACGGGUAAAUUAACUGGUUAAAACAAGUUUUUGGGAAUUAAAACUGGAAAACUGCAAACACGUGAACUCGCCAACAUUAUGUUGACACUCUACUGCAUGCUUUGCAGGUUGCUCGAUACAGCUUUGGACGGACGUUGCAAUCGGAUGGAGUGCGUGGUUCGUAAGUAACAUGUUAGUAAACUUGUGGUUUCAAUUAUGAUAAGUUUUCUUCCCCUUUCCGCUGCGAACUUAAACUCUGUUUUGAAAAAAAAAAAUAUAUAUAUAUUAAAUUAGGUCACUAAUUACGCUAAUGUUUAUAACCAUAACUAAUCCGUUCAAGAUAAUUAGUGGCUAAGAUCCUGGUCGUCACACGCCUCGCGGUAAUACUCCGCGUGUGGAUUUUGAGGGUGUAGUUAUGUAAAUUCAUUAUUCUUAUUGUUUCAGUUUUUCAUCUUCAUUCAAUCAUUCCGUCUACAAUCAAGAAUCUUCAGGUAUCACACGAAACUAGUUUAUGUGUUUUCUUCUUUGUUAUGCUAAUACAGAUAUUGUGUUCUUUAAUGUGUUAUUCUUUUCAGGUUCUUUUACUAGCUUUUGUUUAUUUUUAAUCAGUUUUGAUAAUUGUGUGUUUUUACUUUUUAGGCACGAUUUAAUAAUGGGUUAUUAGAUUUAAUAAUUGUGUGAACCCGUCAGAUAAACCCGAAUACGACCCGUUUUGCUAAACUUGUUUAUGGGUUUAACUCAAAACUAACUCAAACUCAUUUAGUCUAAACUAAAAUACGUGAAUUUCA